AGAGCCCGUUAAUGGGUGAUGGCGUGCCUUUUGUAGAAUGAACCGGCGAGUUACGAUUUGAUGCAAGGUUAAGCAGUGAAUGUGGAGCCGUAGCGAAAGCGAGUCUGAAUAGGGCGUUGAGUAUUUGGUCGUAGACCCGAAACCAGGUGAUCUACCCAUGACCAGGUUGAAGUUCAGGUAACACUGAAUGGAGGACCGAACCGACUUACGUUGAAAAGUGAGCGGAUGAGUUGUGGGUAGCGGAGAAAUUCCAAUCGAACCUGGAGAUAGCUGGUUCUCUCCGAAAUAGCUUUAGGGCUAGCCUCAAGUGA
This 311-nucleotide ribosomal RNA is filed under the name Staphylococcus aureus. RNAcentral's name for it is "partial 23S ribosomal RNA". It matches the Rfam family "Bacterial large subunit ribosomal RNA", at positions 576 to 889 of the family's 2925-position model. Lineage: Bacteria; Bacillati; Bacillota; Bacilli; Caryophanales; Staphylococcaceae. The record is from RNAcentral.